GAUGAACGCUCGCGGGAGGCCUAACACAUGCAAGCCGAGCGGUAUUUGUUCUUCGGAACAGAGAGAGCGGCGCACGGGUGCGGAACACGUGUGCAACCUGCCUUUAUCUGGGGGAUAGCCUUUCGAAAGGAAGAUUAAUACCCCAUAAUAUAUUGAGUGGCAUCAUUUGAUAUUGAAAACUCCGGUGGAUAGAGAUGGGCACGCGCAAGAUUAGAUAGUUGGUGAGGUAACGGCUCACCAAGUCAAUGAUCUUUAGGGGGCCUGAGAGGGUGAUCCCCCACACUGGUACUGAGACACGGACCAGACUCCUACGGGAGGCAGCAGUGAGGAAUAUUGGACAAGGGGUUAGCGCCUGAUCCAGCCAUCCCGCGUGAAGGACGACGGCCCUAUGGGUUGUAAACUUCUUUUGUAUAGGGAUAAACCUACUCUCGUGAGAGUAGCUGAAGGUACUAUACGAAUAAGCACCGGCUAACUCCGUG
This 479-nucleotide ribosomal RNA is filed under the name uncultured bacterium. Its description in RNAcentral is "partial 16S ribosomal RNA". It matches the Rfam family "Bacterial small subunit ribosomal RNA", at positions 28 to 507 of the family's 1533-position model. The record is from RNAcentral.